RNAcentral lists this transfer RNA (74 nucleotides) under Podarcis lilfordi (Lilford's wall lizard). RNAcentral describes it as "tRNA.Lys". It matches the Rfam family "tRNA". Rfam says of the family: Transfer RNA (tRNA) molecules are approximately 80 nucleotides in length. Their secondary structure includes four short double-helical elements and three loops (D, anti-codon, and T loops). Lineage: Eukaryota; Metazoa; Chordata; Lepidosauria; Squamata; Lacertidae. The record is from RNAcentral.
CACUGGAUAGCUCAGGUGGUAGAGCAUGAGACUCUUAAUCUCAGGGUCCUGGGUUCGAGCCUCAUGUUGGGUGA